RNAcentral lists this ribosomal RNA (484 nucleotides) under uncultured bacterium. RNAcentral's name for it is "partial 16S ribosomal RNA". It matches the Rfam family "Bacterial small subunit ribosomal RNA", at positions 28 to 507 of the family's 1533-position model. The record is from RNAcentral.
GUUGAACGCUGGCGGCAGGCCUAAUACAUGCAAGUCGAGCGGAUGAAGGGGAAUUUCCCCUGGUUUCAGUGGCGGGCGGGCGGGUAAUGCCUAGGUGUAUGCCUGGUUGUGGGGGCUGACGUCCUGUCGCGAACGCUAAUAUAACAUCCGUCAUGAGUUUGAAAGUGUGGGUUCUUCGGACAACACGAUUUUUGAUGAGCCUAGGUCGGAUUACCUAGUUGGGGGGGUAAAGGCCUACCAAGGCGACGAUCCGUGACAGGUCUGAGAGGAUGAUCAGUCACAAUGGAACUGAGACACGGUCCAGACUCCUACGGGAGGCAGCAGUUGGGAAUCUUGCACAAUGGGCGAAAGCCUGAUCGAGCCACGCCGGGUGGGGUAAGAAGGUCUUCGGAUUGGAAAACACUUUAAGUUGGGAAGAAGGGUAGGAGAAGGAUACAUUGCUGUUUUGACGGUACCAAAAGAAAAAGCACCGGCUAACUUCGUG